This 581-nucleotide long non-coding RNA is filed under the name Dromaius novaehollandiae (emu). RNAcentral's name for it is "lncRNA (ENSDNVG00000014992.1)". Lineage: Eukaryota; Metazoa; Chordata; Aves; Casuariiformes; Dromaiidae. The record is from RNAcentral.
UGGGCGGCGGGAGAACGCCGGGGUGUCCGGGGGCUGUGCAGGGCCCUGCUGCCAGGCCUCCGCCGCUGUGGGGCUGUUUGUGUGUCCUCUUGAACGUUAAGGUGGUGCGAGGUCAACGGGUCUAGCUGGGCCACCACGGCACCACAAACGUGCGCUCUGGGUGCUCGGCGCGGCCAGCCUGGCUCUCCGUCUUUCCAGGGCCGUGAUGCCUCCAGGUCUCACCCGACAGGGCUGCGCGGGUAGAAGUGAGCCGCGGCGGCCCGGGAUGUCUGCGCUGUGGUCUCGAAACGUUUUACAGAGGAUACUAACACUGUGGAUUGGGAAACAUCACUUCUCGAUUCAGAGACUUGUUCAAAGCAGCCAGAGGAGCCAGGGAUGUGGCCUGCAAACGGUGAGUCCCCAUCACAUGCUGUAGCUCUUAGACCCAAAUGUUCUGCACUCCUGAUCUUGCAUUUCUUCCAGGCUGCCUGCACUGGCUAGACUGGUAAUGGGGAACUCCUCGAAGGCCAGUCAUAUUGCACAGAGCACCUGCAGGACAGGUUGCUUCUCGUGGCCAUGCAUGAUCAGUUGGACUACCUCUG